AUCGAUGAAGAACGCAGCGAAAUGCGAUACGUAAUGUGAAUUGCAGAAUUCAGUGAAUCAUCGAAUCUUUGAACGCACCUUGCGCCCCUUGGCAUUCCGAGGGGCACACCCGUUUGAGUGUCGUGAAAUUCUCAAAAUCCUUUUCUUUGAUCGGAAUAGGACUUUUGGACUUGGAGGUUCAAUGCUCGCUUUCGCCUUUGAAAGCGAGCUCCUCUCAAAUGAAUCAGUGRGGUCCGCUUUGCUGGUCCUUGACGUGAUAAGAUGCUUCUACGUUUUGGAUUUGGCAUUGUUUUCUCCGCUCCUAACUGUCCCCAUGGGACAACGAUGGUGCUUCGGUCGUCGCCAUCUAUGGCGGAAGGCUGAACCCACAAAGAACCUUGACCUCAAAUCGGGUGAGACUACCCGCUGAACUUAAGCAUAUCAAUAAGCGGAGGAAAAGAAACUAACAAGGAUUCCCCUAGUAACUGCGAGUGAAGCGGGAAAAGCUCAAAUUUAAAAUCUGGUGGUCUUUGGCCAUCCGAGUUGUAAUUUAGAGAAGCGUCUUCCGCGCUGGACCGUGCACAAGUCUCCUGGAAUGGAGCGUCAUAGAGGGUGAGAAUCCCGUCUUUGGCACGGAUGUACCAGGGCUUUUGUGAUGCGCUCUCGAAGAGUCGAGUUGUUUGGGAAUGCAGCUCAAAAUGGGUGGUGAACUCCAUCUAAAGCUAAAUAUUGGCGAGAGACCGAUAGCGAACAAGUACCGUGAGGGAAAGAUGAAAAGCACUUUGGAAAGAGAGUGAAACAGUACGUGAAAUUGUUGAAAGGGAAACGCUUGAAGUCAGUCGCGUCGACCGAGACUCAGCCUUGCCUCGGCUUGGUGUACUUCUCGGCUGACGGGUCAGCRUCAAUUUUGCCCCUUGGAUAAUGGCGAGGGAAAUGUGACACCUUUACGGUGUGUUAUAGUCCUUCGUCGCAUGCAAGGGUCGGGAUUGAGGAACUCAGCACGCGCCCUCGGGCGUCGGGGCUUUGCCCACGAUACGUGCUUAGGAUGUUGGCGUAAUGGCUUUAAACGACCCGUCUUGAAACACGG
Molecule: ribosomal RNA, 1066 nt
Filed under: uncultured Basidiomycota
Lineage: Eukaryota; Fungi; Basidiomycota
Description: eukaryotic LSU rRNA
Rfam family: Eukaryotic large subunit ribosomal RNA (bases 379-1066)
Source: RNAcentral